GACUGUUUCACCAUGAUGGUCCCGGUGUUUCUUCCGCAGGCUUCAUUUCACUUAACUGACCGACAGACCUCCUGGUUCUUCCCACUUUAACCUGAAUGACAAACCGGGGCUCGGUGGUCCGGUAGGAUCCAAACAGAGAGCCGGAGCUAGCUGAGAGCCGAGCGGAGGCUAACUGGUUAUGCUUCCUUCCGGUCAUGCUGCAGCUAACGCUCCGUUAGCCUUAUUAGCGUCGCCACUUUCUGUAUCCGUCGUUUCAACUUAAAAUCCCUCUAGCAUUUCAUAUAGUCUUAUGGUUGUAAUUUGCAGACGCACAGUGUGCGACUAAAUUAUUUUUCCACUUCGCACAUAUCUAUUUUUAGGUACAAAUGCCAGUGAAAUACUCGCACUGUAUAGCCCUGUGACAGUACACAUUUCAAUCAAACUUUGACCAGGUCAUGUGGGUUAAAAGUGCACAAUUUUGAUGACACAGCUGUGGGCAAGUCAGCCUUAUGUAACAAACAUCAUCCGAUUCACAUGAAAUUUUCAAGGUGUGCUCUACAGUUGAUAUACAGCGACAUGCUGUUUAUUUAAUGCGUGUUUUCUAGCACCACAUAGUGGACACAGGAAAUGAUAUUUAACUCCUUCAUGCAAUGUUAGAUAACAGACAACUAAAGUUACACGUCUUUGUCCAGCAAGUACUCGUGGCACCGUACAUUUAAGCAUACGAUAGACAUGAAGUGUAAUCAAGCAGAUGUCCAGAGCCAUGGAGACAAACUUUGUGAUUCGUCAGCUUCCAGAAAGUCACAGAAAACGCCAUUUUAUGGACGUGAUUGGUGCUACUGGUGGCUCCAUUACUGGGCGUCGUGAUGGCCUGAUGACGUGUCAUCAUGCAAGCUUACAAAAACAGCCUGCUUAAGCUUGGCUCUGCCUACUUGGUCACACCGACAUCGAGAUCGAGGACGAGCAUCUUAACAGACAACGUCCUUCUCUGUUCAAACUCUGACCUUUGUUAGCAGUAUGAUUGGAAAAAAAUGUUGAUGAUUCAUCUCGGUUUAACAAGAAAGAAGAAAACACACUCAUAUGUUUCCAUGGCCUACUGUACUAUUUAUAUUCUGAAGAGGACCCAACGAGGUUAUGUAAUCAAGAUGGUGAAGCCUUCCCGUAUCUCCUGUCCUCUGGCUGUGGGUCCUCCGGGCGCUCCUGCUGUCACAGCGGUUUAGUGUCACAGUGUCCGGGCCGGCAGGGACGCACUCACCUUGACAGGAUCAACUCGGAAAUAAAAUGGCAGACAUGUCGGCCGUCGGGGAUUCUUUCUUUCUUUGGUCUUUUCUUUUCCUUCCUUCUCUAUACAUGUCAUUUCUCUCUAGCUCUCCUUUCUUUUUACCCAUUUCACUCCUUCCCCCUUGUUCCUUCCAUCCAUCUUUCUUUCUUCCAACUUCCUUUGUGUCCCUUUCAUUUCUUCCCUCAAUUUUUCCUCUUGUUCCUUAUUUUGUUGUGCUAUCAUGUGUCCCUUUUUUUUUUCCUUAAUCUUGUUCUUUCAUCUUCUCUUUCUUGCUGUGACCACUCUCUCUCCUUCUUCUGUUCUUUUAACUAAUUCCUCCUCACAAUUCAGUACUUUUUUCUUUUGCUUUCUCCCUCUUUCCUCCAUCUUGCUAUACUGCAGCUACAUUUUCUUGGAGAGGAUUAUUAUGCUCAGCAGACUGUAUGUUGAUUAUAUCUUCAUAUACUGUAAUCUGGGUUUCUGUGCAGACCUGCACCUGACCAGCUAAGUGCUUUGUAGAAAAAAAAAAAAUCACGCCACAGUGAGUUAUUUCUGGCUGGGUUAAUCUUAUUUCUCUGGGCACUUUGAUAAUGGAGAGGACUUGAAUUAUGAAUGGAGUGUAUAAUACUGUUCUUCAGGCCUGCUGAAUGAAUUAAGCAAGAGCUUAUAAGUGAGUUUCUUUGAGUGUCUCUGAUAUAAUGCCCCCACGCCCCUCCUUUGUCCUUUCCAAUCCCACACUCUUGUUUUGUAUUUUUGGAAUCAGAGCAAAGAUAAACACUUCAGAAGAGCUCAGUCUGCGGUGGGAAAAUACUGACAAUAAAAUGAUAUGUAAAAUAUAUGCUGAAAUGUA
Molecule: long non-coding RNA, 2090 nt
Organism: Thunnus maccoyii (southern bluefin tuna)
Lineage: Eukaryota; Metazoa; Chordata; Actinopteri; Scombriformes; Scombridae
Exons: 4
Source: RefSeq, a predicted model, not a curated record